This is a non-coding RNA of Podarcis lilfordi (Lilford's wall lizard), 73 nucleotides long. Lineage: Eukaryota; Metazoa; Chordata; Lepidosauria; Squamata; Lacertidae. The record is from the annotation of a GenBank genome assembly.
GCUGGAUAGCUCAGUCGGUAGAGUGUGAGACUCUUAAUCACGGGCUUGUGCAUUCAAGCCCCACGUUUGUGCA